GUAGGUGGCAAGCGUUGUCCGGAAUUAUUGGGCGUAAAGCGCGCGCAGGUGGUUCGUUUAAGUCUGAUGUGUAAGACCCCCCGGGCUCAACCGGGGAGGGGUCAUUGGAAACUGGGGAACUUGAGUGCAGGAGAGGAAAGUGGAAUUCCACGUGUAGCGGUGAAAUGCGUAGAUAUGUGGAGGAACACCAGUGGCGAAGGCGACUUUCUGGCCUGUAACUGACACUGAGGCGCGAAAGCGUGGGGAGGCAAACAGGAUUAGAUACCCCUGGUAGUCCACGCCGUAAACGAUGAGUGCUAAGUGUUGGGGGGGUUUCCGCCCCUCAGUGCUGCAGCUAACGCAUUAAGCACUCCGCCUGGGGAGUACGGUCGCAAAGACUG
RNAcentral lists this ribosomal RNA (380 nucleotides) under uncultured organism. RNAcentral's name for it is "partial 16S ribosomal RNA". It matches the Rfam family "Bacterial small subunit ribosomal RNA", at positions 527 to 896 of the family's 1533-position model. The record is from RNAcentral.